Molecule: unclassified non-coding RNA, 229 nt
Filed under: plant metagenome
Description: partial contains small subunit ribosomal RNA, internal transcribed spacer 1, and 5.8S ribosomal RNA
Source: RNAcentral
UCUCCGUAGGUGAACCUGCGGAGGGAUCAUUACAGAGUUCAUGCCCUACCGGGUAGAUCUCCCACCCUAUGUUAUUAUUACUUUGUUGCUUUGGCGGGCCGUUAGGCUCCGGCCCGACUACCGGCCCCGGCUGGUAAGCGCCCGCCAGAGGACCCAAAACCCUGAAUAUUAGUGUCGUCUGAGUACUAUAUAAUAGUUAAAACUUUCAACAACGGAUCUCUUGGUUCUU